CCAACACCGCUAAGACUAUUGGAGGUGGGCUGUGUGUCUACAUCAGUGCUUCUCAAUUAUUUUCUGUUACGCCCCCCCCCUAGCAAGAAGAAAACUAUUCGCGCCCCCCACUCCCCACCGUGACUAUCCAUCUCUG
Long non-coding RNA from Syngnathus acus (greater pipefish), 136 nucleotides. RefSeq lists it as uncharacterized. The transcript is spliced from 3 exons. The record is from RefSeq and is a predicted model, not a curated record. NCBI's taxonomy places the organism in Eukaryota, Metazoa, Chordata, Actinopteri, Syngnathiformes, Syngnathidae.